UACGAAGGGGGCGAGCGUUGUUCGGAUUACUGGGCGUAAAGCGCACGUAGGCGGCUUUCUAAGUCGGGGGUGAAAUCCUGGAGCUCAACUCCAGAACUGCCUUCGAUACUGGAGAGCUCGAGUCCGGGAGAGGUGAGUGGAACUGCGAGUGUAGAGGUGAAAUUCGUAGAUAUUCGCAAGAACACCAGUGGCGAAGGCGGCUCACUGGCCCGGUACUGACGCUGAGGUGGCGAAAGCGUGGGGAGCAAAC
This 250-nucleotide ribosomal RNA is filed under the name uncultured bacterium. RNAcentral's name for it is "partial 16S ribosomal RNA". It matches the Rfam family "Bacterial small subunit ribosomal RNA", at positions 524 to 773 of the family's 1533-position model. The record is from RNAcentral.